Molecule: ribosomal RNA, 1373 nt
Filed under: Scytonematopsis crustacea
Lineage: Bacteria; Bacillati; Cyanobacteriota; Cyanophyceae; Nostocales; Scytonemataceae
Description: bacterial SSU rRNA
Rfam family: Bacterial small subunit ribosomal RNA
Source: RNAcentral
CGGACGGGUGAGUAACGCGUGAGAAACUGUCUUCAGGUCGGGGACAACAGUUUGAAAAGACUGCUAAAACCGGAUGUGCCUUUGGGUGAAAGAUUUUUUGCCUGAAAAAGAGCUCGCGUCAGAUUUGCUAGUAGGUGGUGUAAGAGACUACCUAGGGUCCGAUCUGUAGCUGGUCUGAGAGGACGAUCAGCCACACUGGAACUGAGACACGGUCCAGACUCCUACGGGAGGGAGCAGUGGGGAAAUUUCCGCAAAGGGGGAAAGCCUGACGGAGCAAAACCGCGUGAGGGACGAAGGGUCUUGGGUCGUAAACCUCUUUUCUCAAGGAAGAUUUUGACGGUACUUGAGGAAUAAGCAUCGGGUAACUCUGUGCCAGCAGCCGCGGUAAAACAGAGGAUGCAAGCGUUUUCCGGAAAGAUUGGGGGUAAAGCGUCCGCAGGUGGUUUUAAAAGUCUGCUGUUUAAGCGUGUGGGUCAACCACAUACAGGGAGUGGAAACUAUUUGACUAGAGUAUGUUUGGGGUAGAGGGAAAUCCCAGUGUAGCGGUGAAAAGCGUAGAGAUUGGGAAGAACACCGGUGGGGAAAGCGCUCUGCUAGGACAAAACUGACACUGAGGGACGAAAGCUAGGGGAGCGAAAGGGAUUUGAUACCCCAGUAGUCCUAGCCGUAAACGAUGGAUACUAGGGGUUGCCCGUAUCGACCCGGGGAUUGUCGUAGCUAACGCGUUUAGUAUCCCGCCUGGGGAGUACGCACGCAAGUGUGAAACUCAAAGGAAAUGACGGGGGGCCGCACAAGCGGUGGAGUAUGUGGUUUUAAUCGAUGCAACGCGAAGAACCUUUCCAGGACUUGACAUGUCGCGAACCCUGCUGAAAGGUGGGGGUGCCUUCGGGAGCGCGAACACAGGUGGUGCAUGGGUGUCGUCAGCUCGUGUCGUGAGAUGUUGGGUUUAGUCCCGCAACGAGCGCAACCCUCGUUUUUUGUUGCCAUCAUUUAGUUGGGGACUCUAGAGAGACUGCCGGUGACAAACCGGAGGAAGGUGGGGAUGACGUCAAGUCAGCAUGCCCCUUUCGUCCUGGGGUACACACGUACUACAAAGCUACGAACAAAGGGGAGCUAGUUUGCAAAAACAUGCAAAACUCAGAAAACGUAGCUCAGUUCAGAUUGAAGGGUGCAACUCGCCUUCAUGAAGUCGGAAACGCUAGUAAAUGCAGGUCAGCAUACUGCAGUGAAAUCGUUCCCGGGGCUUGUACACACCGCCCGUCACACCAUGGAAGCUGGUCACGCCCGAAGUAGUUUUCCUAACCUUUUCGAGGACGGAGACUCCGAAGGUAGGGGUGGUGACUGGGGUGAAGUCGUAACAAGGUAGCCGUACC